UGAGGAAUAUUGCGCAAUGGGGGAAACCCUGACGCAGCAACGCCGCGUGAGUGAGGAAGGUUUUCGGACCGUAAAGCUCUGUCGAGCGGGAAGAAAUGCAUGGUGGCUAAUAUCCAUCAUGCUUGACGGUACCGCUAAAGGAAGCACCGGCUAACUCCGUGCCAGCAGCCGCGGUAAUACAGGGGGUGCGAGCGUUGUUCGGAAUUAUUGGGCGUAAAGAGAGUGUGGGCGGCUGAAUAAGUCAGAUGUGACAUCCCUGGGCUUAACUCAGGACGGGCAUUUGAAACUAUUCG
Molecule: ribosomal RNA, 293 nt
Filed under: uncultured prokaryote
Description: partial 16S ribosomal RNA
Rfam family: Bacterial small subunit ribosomal RNA
Source: RNAcentral